UCCAGUCGCUAGCUGAGAUCUGCUGGGCUUCUCGGGGUUUGGUAUCUUGAUGCAGCUGUCUGGGUUGGCAGGUGACGACCUUUGUUUGGAAACGAGGCUUUGCUAGUCACAUGGAAUAGAAUGAAGACAGCCACAGACUGUGAGCAUUAACCGAAAACUCUUGAUCAAACAGGAGAUCUGAUUGUCCAUCACAGGAAGAAAUCGUAGCCGUUGGUUUACAGGGGUGAUUCUUCGUUUAGAAUUCCUUUACAUAAAACGGUCUCAGAAUCGAAGUUUCCGGGAAAUAAAGGGUUCUAACAGUCCGAGUAAAAUGAAAGAAAGUGGGUCUCUGUUGUAACUGUCCCCAGAGCUAUUUGGCACGGACACAAAGCUUUGAGACCAGUAAAGUUGUCUGUCCCCUUUGGAGAUCUGGUCUGCGGUGCCUGGGUGAGCGGAGCCGGAGAGGCGCUUGGCCCAGCUCCUGCUGACUUCAUACCCCAUGCCAGUCGGAGAGGACUUGUUGGAUUGUAUUUGGUGCCAAGGACUGGGUGGGAAAGGGGAAGAAAAUUCAAGCAAAAGAAGGGGGUGAGGUGCCCGAAGACAGGCUUUUGCAGGGUUCUUUAAGUGCCAUCAGCUGUAGUGAAGACGCAAAAAUUUCUACAGCAGUUGUAGCCCUUCUGGAGCAAUGGCUUAACAAACUUAACAUGGUGAUAUUAUCACCUCUACUCAGUGGACAAAAGACUUCACUGUUUAACAGAAUAAAGCCUUUCUUCUUCCA
Mesocricetus auratus (golden hamster) is the source of this 757-nucleotide long non-coding RNA. RefSeq lists it as uncharacterized. NCBI's taxonomy places the organism in Eukaryota, Metazoa, Chordata, Mammalia, Rodentia, Cricetidae. The record is from RefSeq and is a predicted model, not a curated record. The transcript is spliced from 3 exons.